CCCGCCAUGGCUGAUAUGCCCUUCUACGCCGCAGUCGUCGGCCAGCUCGUCACUGCAGGCCUGAGCACAGCAGGCACGCUCGACGUCGUUGCGGCCCUCUCUGUGGCGAUGCCCCCGCCCAUUCUCUUCACCAUCGCAUGCUCUGCUGGCCAGCACGCCGUCGCCACGGGCAGUCCCUUCCCCACUGGACCGCACACCACCAGCACCCUCCUACACGGCCUCCUCCCCGCCAUGGACCCCUUCUCGACGGUCGGUCUCCUCCCCGCCGUGGGCUCCCCCGCAGUCGGGGUUCCCGGUGCCUUCACUGCGCAACAGCAGUUGCAGCAGCACACCCGGUAUUCCCUGCCUACACCCCACUUUCGUCGCUCCAGUGUGGACUGACACCGUCGCAUCCUCGACGGCCCCUCCAUCUACAUCAUUUGCGCUCGUCGCGGCCAUCGCCAUCAUCCAGGCGGUCGUCGUCGCCUCCCAGGAGCGCGAACGAGCCAUGUCUCAUGGCCACUGCACAACGCCUCCUCCUCGACCAUUCACCGGUCACCCAUGAGGAUCCCCCGGUCGCUCCAAAGGCCCCCACGCCUCUGAACUCCACGCCAACACCAUCGCCGCCCUCCACGCUCAUGUUGCCAGGAUGCACAACAUUCGGUCCCUCAUGUCCGUUGUGCUGGACCCAGCGUCCUCCCACUAACCUCGUUGGCGGACUCAAGUGGUUCUCACGCUUCGUCAGUAUGCCCUCGCCGACCACGUCCUUGACGAUCUCGUCGCCCCGCUGUCUCCAUCGUGGUACCAGAUGGGCAGUGUGGUCCUCUUUUUGCUCAACGAUAUCAUCACCGUUGAGCUACAGGACAUCAUCCGCGACCAGGCGAAUACUGCUCGCCAGGUGUGGCUCGCUCUUGAGGGACAGUUCCUCAGGAACAGGGAGGCUUAGGCGUUCCACCUCGACGCUGUUUCACCAGUUCUCUCAAGGGGGAUCUCUCCGUGAGAGAAUACUGCCGCCAAAUGAAGGGCAUGGUGGACUCUCUUCGUGACCUCGGCGAGCCCAUCGUCGACUGUACCUUGGUGCUGAACCUUCUGCAUGGCCUCAUCCCCCGCUACGGCCACCGGAAGGCUCUCAUCAAGAGGAUUGUGCCCUUCCCCACCUUCCACGCCGUCCGCAACGAGCUUCUCCUCGAGGAGCUCACCAUGCAGACUAAGGCCCCUGCUCCAGCGUCGGCCCUCUAUAGUGCUCCACCCGGCGGUCAGGCACCCUCGGGGGGCUCGCUCUCCGUCGACUGGGGCUGCCACCCACACUCCACCUGCCGCCCCUAUGGCCCCUCAUUCGGCUUCCAACACCGACGGAGGUCGUCGUUCCCAC
This 1351-nucleotide unclassified non-coding RNA is filed under the name Zea mays. Its description in RNAcentral is "misc RNA Zm00001eb138160". Lineage: Eukaryota; Viridiplantae; Streptophyta; Magnoliopsida; Poales; Poaceae. The record is from RNAcentral.